Apodemus sylvaticus (European woodmouse) is the source of this 193-nucleotide long non-coding RNA. RefSeq lists it as uncharacterized. The record is from RefSeq and is a predicted model, not a curated record. Lineage: Eukaryota; Metazoa; Chordata; Mammalia; Rodentia; Muridae. The transcript is spliced from 2 exons.
CUCUGAUGAAUGAAGACACUUGGUAGACAGCUUGAGCUUCUUGGCAGAUUUUCAAACCAGCUGACUAGGAAGCUGCCAGUGAUUGGGCCUACCUAGGUCUGACCUCACUCUGAGGAACUGAAAAUCUGGGGAGGGAUCAGUGACUGAAGAGCAUGCUGUACUGUGAAGGAAAUAUACAGAGUUGAGCAAUGUU